UUUCGCAAUGCCCGAAAGGGUGACGAAGCGACGCCGCGUGUGGGAAGAAGGCCUUCGGGUUGUAAACCACUGUCGGGAGUUAAGAAAUACAAGGAUAUUAAUAGUGUCUUUGUUUGACUAAGGCUCCGGAGGAAGCCACGGCUAACUCUGUGCCAGCAGCCGCGGUAAUACAGAGGCGGCAAGCGUUGUUCGGAAUUAUUGGGCGUAAAGAGCACGUAGGCGGCUAUGUGAGUCGGUUGUGAAAGCCUUCCGCUCAACGGGAGAACAGCAUCCGAUACUGCAUGGCUUGAGUGCGGGAGGGGAGAGUGGAACUUCUGGUGGAGCGGUGAAAUGCGUAGAUAUCAGAAGGAACGCCGGCGGCGAAAGCGGCUCUCUGGCCCAUAACUGACGCUGAGUGUGCGAAAGCUAGGGGAGCAAACGGGAUUAGAUACCCCGGUAGUCCUAGCCGUAAACGAUGGGCACUAAGUAGAGGGGUUUU
RNAcentral lists this ribosomal RNA (478 nucleotides) under uncultured Planctomycetales bacterium. RNAcentral's name for it is "bacterial SSU rRNA". It matches the Rfam family "Bacterial small subunit ribosomal RNA", at positions 364 to 832 of the family's 1533-position model. The record is from RNAcentral. Lineage: Bacteria; Pseudomonadati; Planctomycetota; Planctomycetia; Planctomycetales.